UUAAGUUAGAAAGGGCGCACGGUGGAUGCCUUGACACUAGGAGUCGAUGAAGGACGGGACUAACGCCGAUAUGCUUCGGGGAGCUGUAAGUAAGCUUUGAUCCGAAGAUUUCCGAAUGGGGAAACCCACCAUACGUAAUGGUAUGGUAUCCUUAUCUGAAUACAUAGGGUAAGGAAGACAGACCCAGGGAACUGAAACAUCUAAGUACCUGGAGGAAGAGAAAGCAAAUGCGAUUUCCUGAGUAGCGGCGAGCGAAACGGAACAUAGCCCAAACCAAGAGGCUUGCCUCUUGGGGUUGUAGGACAUUCUAUACGGAGUUACAAAGGAACGAGGUAGACGAAGCGACCUGGAAAGGUCCGUCGUAGAGGGUAACAACCCCGUAGUCGAAACUUCGUUCUCUCUUGAAUGUAUCCUGAGUACGGCGGAACACGUGAAAUUCCGUCGGAAUCUGGGAGGACCAUCUCCCAAGGCUAAAUACUCCCUAGUGAUCGAUAGUGAACCAGUACCGUGAGGGAAAGGUGAAAAGCACCCCGGAAGGGGAGUCAAAGAGAUCCUGAAACCGUGUGCCUACAAAUAGUCAGAGCCCGUUAACGGGUGAUGGCGUGCCUUUUGUAGAAUGAACCGGCGAGUUACGAUCCCGUGCGAGGUUAAGCUGAAGAGGCGGAGCCGCAGCGAAAGCGAGUCUGAAUAGGGCGUUUAGUACGUGGUCGUAGACCCGAAACCAGGUGAUCUACCCAUGUCCAGGGUGAAGUUCAGGUAACACUGAAUGGAGGCCCGAACCCACGCACGUUGAAAAGUGCGGGGAUGAGGUGUGGGUAGCGGAGAAAUUCCAAUCGAACCUGGAGAUAGCUGGUUCUCCCCGAAAUAGCUUUAGGGCUAGCCUUAAGUGUAAGAGUCUUGGAGGUAGAGCACUGAUUGGACUAGGGGUCCUCAUCGGAUUACCGAAUUCAGUCAAACUCCGAAUGCCAAUGACUUAUCCUUAGGAGUCAGACUGCGAGUGAUAAGAUCCGUAGUCAAAAGGGAAACAGCCCAGACCGCCAGCUAAGGUCCCAAAGUGUGUAUUAAGUGGAAAAGGAUGUGGAGUUGCUUAGACAACUAGGAUGUUGGCUUAGAAGCAGCCACCAUUUAAAGAGUGCGUAAUAGCUCACUAGUCGAGUGACUCUGCGCCGAAAAUGUACCGGGGCUAAAUACACCACCGAAGCUGCGGAUUGAUACCAAUGGUAUCAGUGGUAGGGGAGCGUUCUAAGGACAGUGAAGUCAGACCGGAAGGACUGGUGGAGUGCUUAGAAGUGAGAAUGCCGGUAUGAGUAGCGAAAGACGGGUGAGAAUCCCGUCCACCGAAUGCCUAAGGUUUCCUGAGGAAGGCUCGUCCGCUCAGGGUUAGUCAGGACCUAAGCCGAGGCCGACAGGCGUAGGCGAUGGACAACAGGUUGAUAUUCCUGUACCACCUCUUUAUCGUUUGAGCAAUGGAGGGACGCAGAAGGAUAGAAGAAGCGUGCGAUUGGUUGUGCACGUCCAAGCAGUUAGGCUGAUAAGUAGGCAAAUCCGCUUAUCGUGAAGGCUGAGCUGUGAUGGGGAAGCUCCUUAUGGAGCGAAGUCUUUGAUUCCCCGCUGCCAAGAAAAGCUUCUAGCGAGAUAAAAGGUGCCUGUACCGCAAACCGACACAGGUAGGCGAGGAGAGAAUCCUAAGGUGUGCGAGAGAACUCUGGUUAAGGAACUCGGCAAAAUGACCCCGUAACUUCGGGAGAAGGGGUGCUUUCUUAACGGAAAGCCGCAGUGAAUAGGCCCAAGCGACUGUUUAGCAAAAACACAGCUCUCUGCGAAGCCGUAAGGCGAAGUAUAGGGGGUGACACCUGCCCGGUGCUGGAAGGUUAAGGAGAGGGGUUAGCGUAAGCGAAGCUCUGAACUGAAGCCCCAGUAAACGGCGGCCGUAACUAUAACGGUCCUAAGGUAGCGAAAUUCCUUGUCGGGUAAGUUCCGACCCGCACGAAAGGUGUAACGAUUUGGGCACUGUCUCAACCAGAGACUCGGUGAAAUUAUAGUACCUGUGAAGAUGCAGGUUACCCGCGACAGGACGGAAAGACCCCGUGGAGCUUUACUGUAGCCUGAUAUUGAAUUUUGGUACAGUUUGUACAGGAUAGGCGGGAGCCAUUGAAACCGGAGCGCUAGCUUCGGUGGAGGCGCUGGUGGGAUACCGCCCUGACUGUAUUGAAAUUCUAACCUACGGGUCUUAUCGACCCGGGAGACAGUGUCAGGUGGGCAGUUUGACUGGGGCGGUCGCCUCCUAAAGUGUAACGGAGGCGCCCAAAGGUUCCCUCAGAAUGGUUGGAAAUCAUUCGUAGAGUGCAAAGGCAUAAGGGAGCUUGACUGCGAGACCUACAAGUCGAGCAGGGACGAAAGUCGGGCUUAGUGAUCCGGUGGUUCCGCAUGGAAGGGCCAUCGCUCAACGGAUAAAAGCUACCCCGGGGAUAACAGGCUUAUCUCCCCCAAGAGUCCACAUCGACGGGGAGGUUUGGCACCUCGAUGUCGGCUCAUCGCAUCCUGGGGCUGUAGUCGGUCCCAAGGGUUGGGCUGUUCGCCCAUUAAAGCGGUACGCGAGCUGGGUUCAGAACGUCGUGAGACAGUUCGGUCCCUAUCCGUCGUGGGCGUAGGAAAUUUGAGAGGAGCUGUCCUUAGUACGAGAGGACCGGGAUGGACGCACCGCUGGUGUACCAGUUGUUCUGCCAAGGGCAUAGCUGGGUAGCUAUGUGCGGAAGGGAUAAGUGCUGAAAGCAUCUAAGCAUGAAGCCCCCCUCAAGAUGAGAUUUCCCAUAGCGUAAGCUAGUAAGAUCCCUGAAAGAUGAUCAGGUUGAUAGGUUCGAGGUGGAAGCAUGGUGACAUGUGGAGCUGACGAAUACUAAUAGAUCGAGGACUUAACCAU
Molecule: ribosomal RNA, 2920 nt
Filed under: Bacillus thuringiensis serovar tolworthi
Lineage: Bacteria; Bacillati; Bacillota; Bacilli; Caryophanales; Bacillaceae
Description: bacterial LSU rRNA
Rfam family: Bacterial large subunit ribosomal RNA
Source: RNAcentral